CUCUCAUUCACUACUUCCUUCUUCCACCUCUUCUUCUCCAUUCUUCCUUUUUUUUAAAUCAAAUAGAAAUAAGGGACACUCUCCGACAUCAGAUCUGUUUUUUUAUAUUCUUUUGUAAUAACAUUUGGAAAGGACUCUGAGAUACUGGUUCCUCACACCGAAAAGGUUAUUGAUGAAGGCCCUCAACCUAAGAAAGGUUAGUUCUUUCUCUACUAUUCAUGAUUUUGGGAAUAGUUUGGGAAGAUUUGGAUGGAGAUUUGGGAGGAUUGCUUUGGAAGGGUUUAGGGAAGAUUGAGAUGCUGAUGAACACACAUACAAAUUAAUUCAUUUGAUUUUCCGCAGAUCUUCCGCUUGGUUCUGUGAACCCAGAUUUUCCCAAAUUGAUUUGGGGCUAAAGAUCCAUAAUAAUAAUGGAGAUUGAAAUUAUUUUGAACUGGUAGAAGGUUGGUCUGUUUUUCUUCAACAAAAGAGAUUUUGGUUUGAAUUGUUUUUCGAAUUUUUGUUGUAUGUUUUAGUGUUAGUUCCAUGACAAAGAUGUGAUUUUUACUGGGUUUUAUAGUUAUGGUGUUUACUGAUUAGUGAAUAUUUUGAUAAUAUGUAAAAAAGACGAGUGAUGUUUUUCAGUUCUGUGAUAUCAAAAGAAGAUCCAUUUGAUUUUUAACUUCACUCU
This is a long non-coding RNA of Vicia villosa (hairy vetch), 670 nucleotides long. RefSeq lists it as uncharacterized. The transcript is spliced from 3 exons. Lineage: Eukaryota; Viridiplantae; Streptophyta; Magnoliopsida; Fabales; Fabaceae. The record is from RefSeq and is a predicted model, not a curated record.